AUGGACGAAGUCUGACCGAGCACGCCGCGUGAGUGAAGAAGGUUUUCGGAUCGUAAAACUCUGUUGGUAGAGAAGAACGUUGGUGAGAGUGGAAAGCUCAUCAAGUGACGGUAACUACCCAGAAAGGGACGGCUAACUACGUGCCAGCAGCCGCGGUAAUACGUAGGUCCCGAGCGUUGUCCGGAUUUAUUGGGCGUAAAGCGAGC
Molecule: ribosomal RNA, 206 nt
Filed under: uncultured bacterium
Lineage: Bacteria
Description: partial 16S ribosomal RNA
Rfam family: Bacterial small subunit ribosomal RNA
Source: RNAcentral